GGGCCCGCACAAGCGGUGGAGCAUGUGGUUUAAUUCGAUGAUACGCGAGGAACCUUACCAGGACUUAAAUGUAAGUUGCAUGAUUCAGAAAUGAAUCUUUCUUCGGACUACUUACAAGGUGCUGCAUGGUUGUCGUCAGCUCGUGCCGUGAGGUGUCAGGUUAAGUCCUAUAACGAGCGCAACCCCUAUCGUUAGUUGCCAUCAAGUAAAGUUGGGAACUCUAGCGAAACUGCCGGUGCAAACCGAGAGGAAGGUGGGGAUGACGUCAAAUCAUCACGGCCCUUACGUUCUGGGCUACACACGUGCUACAAUGGUCGGUACAGAAAGCAGCCACUAUGCGAAUAGGAG
RNAcentral lists this ribosomal RNA (348 nucleotides) under uncultured bacterium. RNAcentral's name for it is "bacterial SSU rRNA". It matches the Rfam family "Bacterial small subunit ribosomal RNA", at positions 917 to 1267 of the family's 1533-position model. The record is from RNAcentral.